This 1108-nucleotide long non-coding RNA is filed under the name Mytilus galloprovincialis (Mediterranean mussel). The record is from RNAcentral. Lineage: Eukaryota; Metazoa; Mollusca; Bivalvia; Mytilida; Mytilidae.
GUUGUGACGGGGAUUUUAUGAUUUUUUUGUUGGUGGAAACUGAACAUGGAGAUCUCUUGUUAAUGUUGUUAUUACGGUCGUCUUUGCUGGUUUCUAAAUUAGAAGGGAUGGUGUUGAUUUGCCUCCUCUCGUUUGCUCAGUUCUCCUACGGUUCUUGUAGGUAGAAUGAUGUCUGGACAUCUGGGGACUACAUGUCGUUGUUGUGGACUGGCUUGGCAGCGAGGGUGGGACUCGCGCCUUCUUACCUUUUUAAUGAAAUAAAUAAGACAACUCAAUUUGCUGGUUGGAACAAGGAUUGUAAUGUAAUGUAAUGUUUCUUUUCUUUUUGAUCGUAAAAUAUUAGUGCAUAAAUCAUACAGAUUAAUAAUAGAUAACAUUAUCAAUUGACAAUAAUACAUGCAUUUCUAUCUCAAAUAUUGCUCGAAUUAAACAUAUUAUAUUUAUUGAAUUAUUUCCUAUUAAUUUGCAAUUAAUUAAUUUCAUUUAAUUACUUUAAGUAACAUUAUAUAACUUACCUUUUUAAUGAAAUAAAUAAGACAACUCAAUUUGCUGGUUGGAACAAGGAUUGUAAUGUAAUGUACGGGCAGUAGACUUAUAUUUGCUUUUAUAGUCACUAUUCAUUACCCGACAUUCCUGUUCCCCAGACAAGAUUGAGCCUCUUUUGCAAACGAUGGAAAGUGUUGCCAAAACAUUUAUUGCUUCAUAAUAUGCAAAAUGUAUUUAUUUGUUUUUGAAAAGCAUUUGGACUUUUAUUUCUCAAAUUAAAUAAAAUAAUAUUUUUGAAGAAUUUCAAUUUCUGAUCUUUAUAAUAAUUGAUAAUUAAAGAUGUUAAAUUUUAAUUAAUAUCUUGUGUACGUCAAUCUUCGUAUCUAAACUUUUUGAUUGGUUAUUAAUAGCAUUCUUGUGUGCCUAAAUGUAUUACUGAAUAUUCAUGAUGCUGUAGUAUCUACAAAUUCUGUGAAUAUGGUUAUAACCUUGGAUGUAGUAUCAAUUCGACAUACAUCUGUCCGUCGACCUAGUAACCUUCUAAACGCGUGCCAAAUAACUAAUGAGGUUCUUGACUUGUGCUAUUUUUGCUUAUCUUGCAUCUUACAUAACGUAUGUUUCU